GGCCUCGUGGCGCAAUGGUAUCGCGUCUGACUCCUGAUUAGAAGACUGGGUGUUCGAGUCACUCCGAGGUCA
Homarus americanus (American lobster) is the source of this 72-nucleotide non-coding RNA. The record is from the annotation of a RefSeq genome assembly. Lineage: Eukaryota; Metazoa; Arthropoda; Malacostraca; Decapoda; Nephropidae.